UUCCGGUUGAUCCCGCCAGACCCGACUGCUAUCAGAAUAGGACUAAGCCAUGCGAGUCAACGUAGCAAUACGUGGCAUACGGCUCAGUAACACGUAGUCAACAUGCCCAGAGGACGUGGAUAACCUCGGGAAACUGAGGAUAAACCGCGAUAGGUCAUAAUAUCUGGAAUGAUUUAUGGUUUAAAUCUAUAUGGCCUCUGGAUUGGACUGCGGCCGAUCAGGCUGUUGGUGAGGUAAUGGCCCACCAAACCUAAAACCGGUACGGGCUCUGAGAGGAGAAGCCCGGAGAUGGGCACUGAGACAAGGGCCCAGGCCCUAUGGGGCGCAGCAGGCGCGAAAACUCUGCAAUAAGCGAAAGCUUGACAGGGUUAUUCUGAGUGAUUUCCGCUAAGGAAAUCUUUUGGCACCUCUAAAAAUGGUGCAGAAUAAGGGGUGGGCAAGCCUGGUGUCAGCCGCCGCGGUAAUACCAGCACCCCGAGUGGUCGGGACGAUUAUUGGGCCUAAAGCAUCCGUAGCCGGUUCUACAAGUCUUCCGUUAGAUCCACCUGCUUAACAGAUGGGCUGCGGAGGAUACUAUGGAGCUAGGAGGCGGGAGAGGCAAGCGGUACUUAGUGGGUAGGGGUAAAAUCCGUUGAUCCAUUGAAGACCACCAGUGGCGAAGGCGGCUUGCCAGAACGCACUCGACGGUGAGGGAUGAAGGCUGGGGGAGCAAACCGGAUUAGAUACCCGGGUAGUCCCAGCUGUAAACGAUGCAGACUCGGUGAUGAAUAGGCUUCGUGCCUAUUCAGUGCCGCAGGGAAGCCGUUAAGUCUGCCGCCUGGGGAGUACGGUCGCAAGACUAAAACUUAAAGGAAUUGGCGGG
This 862-nucleotide ribosomal RNA is filed under the name uncultured archaeon. RNAcentral describes it as "bacterial SSU rRNA". It matches the Rfam family "Archaeal small subunit ribosomal RNA", at positions 1 to 872 of the family's 1478-position model. The record is from RNAcentral.